This 418-nucleotide long non-coding RNA is filed under the name Equus caballus (horse). RNAcentral's name for it is "lncRNA (ENSECAG00000029901.3)". The record is from RNAcentral. Lineage: Eukaryota; Metazoa; Chordata; Mammalia; Perissodactyla; Equidae.
GGCAAACCUUGGUUACAGGAAGGUGAACAGUAGACGGAGACUUCCUUUCCCAACAAUAUUGGCAGAGUGAAUAUCCUGAAAAACUAUCCUGCUGCAAAGCUCCUAAGACUAAAAAGGACUGUCUAUUCCUCCAUAACCAAGCAUUCAGAAGACGCUGAUGUGGCACUGUCCCCACUGCGAUUCUGGGUCUACAUCUCUAAUGUGUCUUUGGGCCCAACGCUGCUCUCAACCCAAACCUGCCAUUGUCCACGGCUAGGAGUUCAUUCAGAUGAUACUAGAACAACUAGAAAGGAAGAAAAUUUGGACACAAAAAAUAGAAACAGAGACAAAGAAGAGAAACUACCAUGUGAAGACAGAGAUAGAAAUCGGAGUUAGCCCACAAGCCAACAAUGCCUGGGGCUACCAGAAGCUGGAAAAG